Molecule: non-coding RNA, 25 nt
Filed under: Mus musculus (house mouse)
Lineage: Eukaryota; Metazoa; Chordata; Mammalia; Rodentia; Muridae
Source: RNAcentral
UGGUCAUGAUGUUUGUGCAGGAAUA